GUGAUGACUUGGUCGAACAUCCACUAAUAUAUGUGCGUCUCCUUUCCUCACUUUCUCAUUGUACUCUUUGGUGCUAAUUCGAUCAUCUGCUGAAAGAAAGUUCAACUUCAAUGGAACCGUGGAUAAUGGAGUUUGAGUAAACUUUUCAUAAUCAAACUCCGAAAAUGUCUGCCUUGUCAGUACUGCAUCAUCUCCACAAGCUUCGCACUGCAAUGACCUUCCACGUAGUUUGACAUUACGGAACCGGC
This 248-nucleotide unclassified non-coding RNA is filed under the name Hevea brasiliensis (rubber tree). The record is from RNAcentral. Lineage: Eukaryota; Viridiplantae; Streptophyta; Magnoliopsida; Malpighiales; Euphorbiaceae.